Molecule: ribosomal RNA, 253 nt
Filed under: uncultured bacterium
Lineage: Bacteria
Description: partial 16S ribosomal RNA
Rfam family: Bacterial small subunit ribosomal RNA
Source: RNAcentral
UACAGAGGGUGCAAGCGUUGUUCGGAAUUAUUGGGCGUAAAGCGCGUGUAGGCGGCUUGGCAAGUCGGGUGUGAAAUCCCUCAGCUCAACUGAGGAAGUGCGCCCGAAACUGCUUUGCUUGAGUGCUGGAGAGGGUCGCGGAAUUCCCCAAGUAGAGGUGAAAUUCGUAGAUAUGGGGAGGAACACCGGUGGCGAAGGCGGCGACCUGGACAGUAACUGACGCUGAGACGCGAAAGCGUGGGUAGCAAACAGG